Long non-coding RNA from Tetranychus urticae (two-spotted spider mite), 1215 nucleotides. RefSeq lists it as uncharacterized. Lineage: Eukaryota; Metazoa; Arthropoda; Arachnida; Trombidiformes; Tetranychidae. The record is from RefSeq and is a predicted model, not a curated record.
AAUAUUUUUCCUUAAGAAAUUACAAUCGCCAUUGAGAUAAUGUCCUCAUUUUUCAACGAUCCUUAAUUAAUUCCGAUCAAAUCGAUUUCCUUUAGUAAAGUAUCAAUCAAAAAAUCAGCGGGAAAUGACAUUUCAGGCUGAAUCUUAUCUACUAACGAAGAUUGAAAAGCACGAGAGUAUUAUUAUACAUCGCCCGGAUUUGAGCAACAAUCAAAUAUCCAAAGUUGCUGGUGAUGCUUUUAUGGACUCAAAUCAUUAACAACUCUUUAUUGUACACAGGUUAUUAGGUGUUGGUUCCUGCUUUUUUCAAUGAAGAUUGGUUGUUACGUUACGUCUUGUUUUGAUGGUAACAAAAUGUUGUGAUAUCUACACUUGCCUACACCUUGCUGCAUGUCAAAUUGGUCAACUAUUUUUUGAUUUAUUUAGAUACAUAUGGGAUUUAUAUUGAACAAGAAAAUGAAGAAGAAAGUAAAGCAAACACAAGGAAAAAAAGUCAAAGUAGUGUUUCAGUGUUAAUCAUUGGAGGAAAAAGGAUAAAUUAUCCGUCAAAUUGUUGAACGGUAACAUCAUUGAUCAUCAUCAGCAACUAAUCACUUCGUUCACUUGAGCUACUACAUUGGAUAGUUUCAUUUUAAAAGAUUAUUAUUGUUAUUACAUAUUACAUAUUGUAAAAUGUGAGGCAAAAACAAAUAAACAAGAUGCUGAUGGUGAUGGUGAUGAUGGUAAUGAUCGUUAUUAGUUUUAAAAUUUCACUUUCUCUAGUUUAAUGAUUUAUAGUCAACAGUUAACACAAAUAACUUGAAAUGGUGAAAAUUAUUUGGCACAUUUGAAACAUUUUUCAUAAAUCAAUACUUUCGCCAUUGAACGAGAAACAAAAAAUGAAAAUAUAGUUGAUCAUCCAUAAUCUUACCAUUACAAAUCACUAAUCAAUCAAUUGAACAACUGUAUACAAUAAAUUUGACAGAAGCCACUAGAAACCCAAAGACCUAAAUAAGAAAUUUGACCUUUUCUGUACUUCGGUACUAGCUAAUUGUUGAGUUAAGAUGUUAAUUGCAAUUAGUUGAGAUAUGAUACCAUUUGCAUUGCAACAAAUUGUAAACAAAUUACUGUUUGAUUCUUGUGUGAACCUUACAAGGCUCAUGAAUGUUUAACCCAAUCUUUAGUUAAUCAAUAUAUUAUCGAUUGUUAUUCAAUUGAAUGUACAAAAUCAAUUAA